UGUCAGGGUUGGGUUUUAGUUUAAGGUUUGUGUUAGGUUUAGGGCUAGGGUUGGGUUUAGGGUUAGGGCAGUGGUGCGACAGAGGCGGGCCGGAGAGUGCUGGGGAGGGGGUGGGCAGGGAGCAUGGGUGAUACAUGCCUGUCCACUGAAGGGAGUUGAGCAUUCCGGGGGCGGAAAAUAUCAGCUCAUGUUCCUGUCUUAAGGAAUAACCUCAAGAACCUCUAGUGUGCUUUGACAGCGUUCACAUAUGCCAGUGGCAGUGGUGAGCACACGAUUGCGGUCACAGGAAAUGGAUCCCCAGCUCUGCCAUCAACCCCAAUUAGAGACGGGGUCUCGCUGUUGCUCAUGCUGGUUUUGAA
Molecule: non-coding RNA, 359 nt
Organism: Microcebus murinus (gray mouse lemur)
Lineage: Eukaryota; Metazoa; Chordata; Mammalia; Primates; Cheirogaleidae
Source: RefSeq, a predicted model, not a curated record